CCAUACCUGCACACAGCUACCAUCUGGGUCUUGGGGAAAUCAUUAUAAUGAAGAUGUAUCUCUAAUUCACUUGGUUUCAGUUGAGAGAAGGCAACAAGGCAAAACUGUACAGGUCACUGUAACAGUCAGUCUCUUCAAGGCCCACUGGAAAGGCUGUGUACCUUAGCAGGCUCUGCCAUACACCUUUUCACAAGCCUUUGCUUCACUGCCAGGUGCACUCCAGUUCUCCUAAGCAGGGGUCCUUACCUCAAACUGUAAAGCUACAGAGGCUGUCACUUUUCAAGUAUGACACUACCACAGAAAGCACAGAGCUUAACAAGUGUUCUGAACUACAAGAAACAUGGAUGAUAUCAGGAAGGGCUCAGUUCCCACUCCCAGCCUGCAGGUACCAGUGUUCAUCUCACCCCACAGGAAGCCACAGGAAAAGAACUUACUACUUUUUGGUGUGAUUUGUUAUCUGUGGACAUGGCAAGCAGCAACAGCUUGCAGAGGCGAGACAGAACAGA
This is a long non-coding RNA of Chiroxiphia lanceolata (lance-tailed manakin), 506 nucleotides long. RefSeq lists it as uncharacterized. The record is from RefSeq and is a predicted model, not a curated record. The transcript is spliced from 4 exons. NCBI's taxonomy places the organism in Eukaryota, Metazoa, Chordata, Aves, Passeriformes, Pipridae.